Molecule: long non-coding RNA, 1151 nt
Organism: Rhineura floridana
Lineage: Eukaryota; Metazoa; Chordata; Lepidosauria; Squamata; Rhineuridae
Exons: 3
Source: RefSeq, a predicted model, not a curated record
CUGAGUAGAAAAGAUGCAGCAGCACCUCCAACUACUUUUCCAUUAAGAUUUCCCCCUCCCAAGUGCUUUGCUGCUGCUGCUAUUAAUAUGUAUUAUUUUAAAGGGUGUCAGGACAGUUACACACUUUAAGGGCUAGUGUCAUGUUGCAGACUAAAUUCACUCUUAUUUAUAGUCAAGAAUGCAUGCAGUUAAGCUAACAAUACUUCCUCAGCUUGAGAAACUCAUAUCUAUAACUCUAGAGGGUUCUGUUGGGGCACUUUACAAGACAUAUAUGUCAGGCAUAGCAAACAUGGCACCUACCAGAUGUUGGACUACAACUCCCAUCAGUCCAGCAUGGCCAAUUGCCAAAUCCAAGAACAUCUGCACUGGAGGACACUACAUUGGCUACCCCUGAUCACUGACCAGAUCACAAAAGAGUACUUGUUUUGGGAAGAUGGUUUUGAAACAAAGUGUCAGGAUGCCCACCCUGAGAAGCAGCGUGAACUCUGACUCGAAUGAUGAAGGGCAAGCCAGAUCCACUGAAUCAGCAACACCAGAGGCAGAGGUGCUGCAUCCUGAACCAGGUCCCAGAAUCAGAGCCUGCACCCACAAGCGAGUGAGGCACCCUGAACUAGGACUUCCAUCUCCUCGGAGACUGCAGCCCCUGAGCAACAAUUGCCUUCCAGAGCAGACCAGAUGCAUCCCCAUAAGUGGCCCAUCACAGCAGGCUGAAGGGAAUUGUCCAUGGCCUGCCCUUUAAGGAAGGGGAAAUGCAUAGGAGAAGUGAUCUGGUCCUGGAGGAAUAAGUGCAGUCCUAGACUUCGUUGGAGCAAGUUGCCCAGCGCUGCAAAUAUUGGAUGGCCUUGCUCCAUUGUGGCCCAUUGGGCUUCUUGCCCAGGUCAGGUCAAGACAGAAUCAACCUGCCAACCAACCAGAGGCCUCCCUCUGCCCACCCUAGUUAUUCCUCUCCAUUUUGCAGUCUGCCUAGGCUGAUUUUGGCUUCUUUCUUAAAAAAAAAAAAAAUGGAAAAGUAUGGAACUCCAUGUAACAUGUAAUUUGAUCCUCAUACACAGUUUUUCUGUACAUAUGGUAGUUAUUUUGAUUUUAAAAAAAUUAAAUACUGGGACCAGGUUCUUGAAAUAAUUCUUGGAACGACAGGGUAUGAUCUAUCA